RNAcentral lists this long non-coding RNA (3137 nucleotides) under Canis lupus familiaris (dog). RNAcentral describes it as "lncRNA (ENSCAFG00000056391.1, ENSCAFG00845009953.1)". Lineage: Eukaryota; Metazoa; Chordata; Mammalia; Carnivora; Canidae. The record is from RNAcentral.
UUUUAAUAUACACAAGACAAGAGUCUUAAAGGUUCACACAGCCUUUACUUUCAUUUACUAUACAGUGAAACCCCUUUCCCUCUCUAGGAUCAAUUCUGUGUGCAUAUUUCAUCUGAUGAAAUCCCAGGCUAAAAUAUGACCUGAUAGCACUACAUUGUCUGCACACAAGCAUUUGUGUAAAUAUUUGAAUAUUGAAUUGCCUUUCCUUUCCUGUUUUUAUACAACACAGUGGAGGAUAGAAAAGUGAAAAUGUUAAUACCAGUACUAAUACAAGUUAGGAAAUGUGAAGUAUCAUCAAGAAUACCAAAAGCAAUCUUUGAAAAAAAAGAGGGGGGGGGCACCUGGGUGGCUCAGUGGUUGAGUGACUGUCUUUGGUUCAGGUGGUAACCCCAGGGUCCUGGAAUCAAGUCCUGCAUCGGGCUCCCCAUAGGGAGCCAGCUUCUCCCUCUGCCUGUGUCUCUGCCUCUCUGUGUCUCUCAUGAAUAAAUAAAUAAAAUCUUAAAAAAAAAUACUAAAAGCAGGCUAGCGAAAGCUCAAGGGACAAAAGCUGGUUGAUGGUGAGUUUAUUUGUGAAGGAAAUAGCAUUUCCUCAGUGACACACAUGAAAUGAUGGACUGGGGUCAAAAUCUUGUCUAUAAUUAAAGUGGGGGGACAGAGAAAAAGGAGAGAUUCAUAAAUUUGUGGAUUAAGAAUCAAUAUCACAAAGGGAUUUAAGGGAUUCCAAUGCAAAGAGAGACUCAGAAAUCAUUAGAGCUGUUGAUUUGGAUGAAGCUUUCUACAGAUUUCUUAUCAAGGGAAGAAAGACAAAAGCUAGUUUCAACUCUUCUGAACACAUUUUGUAUGGAAGUCGGUAAGUCUCAUGAAAAUCAGCAUCAAGACUGCCUGCUAAGUCCCCCAAAAAUUAUCACCAGAAAGCACACCCCAUGUUUAAAUAAAUUUCUUCCAACUCCCCAAGUCACGCCAAGUAAGUUGAGAAGCCUAAAACCUGAGGUAGGAAAUUAGGUUUUGGGGGGUUUAGGUGUUAGUGGGAAUGCAAGCUCGUCCAGCCACUCUGGAAAACAGUGUGGAGGUUUCUCAAAAAGUUAAACAUAGGGUACCCUAUGAACCCACAACUGCACUACCGGGUAUUUACCCCAAAGAUACAGAUGUAAGUGAAAUGCCAGACACCUGCACCCCAAUGUUUAUAGCAGCAAUGUUCACAAUAGCCAAACUGUGGAAGGAGCCAUGAUGUCCUUUGACAGAUAAAUGGAUAAAGGAGAUGUGGUACAAAUACACAAUGGAAUAUUACUCAGCCAUCAGAAAAGACAAAUACCCACCAUUUGCUUCAAUGUGGAUGGAACUGGAGGGUAUUAUGCUGAGUGAAGUAAGUCAACCGGAGGAUAAUCAUCAUGUGGUUUCACUCAUACGUGGAAUAUAAGAAAUAGUCAAAGGGAUUAUAGGGAAAAGGAGGGAAACUGAGUGGGGAAAAAUUAGAGAAGAAGACAAACCAUGAGAGAUUCCCAACUCUGGGAAACAAAGGGUUGCAGAAGGGGAGGUGGGGGGGGAUGGGGUAACUGGGUGACGGGCACUGAGGAAGGCACUUGAUAGGAUGAACACGGGGUGUUAUACUAUGUGUUGACAAACUGAAUUUAAAUUUAAAGAAAAAAGAAAAACCUAGGGCCCACAUAGCAUGCUUGAUGCUAUCAUCAGGGAUUUUAUGACAUUUUCACUUCUAUGGAGUUUUCUCUCCUCAACUACAUGCUAUUUUCUAUUAACCAGCCAGUCUGUGUUCCUCAGCUGUUGUACAUGAACACCCUCGUUUUCGGGAAGAUAUUCUGCAAUAAAAUAGGAUAAAAUGAAAAUGGUUUGCUCUCACAGUAAGCCUAUGGUAGGGGAGGUCCCACAGGCCUAAUUUAAGUCACCGUGGGUGGAGACUGCCUUCUUUGAGUCUUCAAUGCCUUUCCUUGUUCCAGCAAGGUGGCAGAUAUUAAUUGCUUGUUGAAUAAAUUUUUAAAAUAGUCUCAAAAGUUAAGGAUAUUUCCCAAAGUAAGAAAAAAUAGAAUGUCUUUCCCAACCUAACUUUCACCAUUUCUACUUUGAUUAACUCUUUCGCAAUUGGUUUUUAAGCAGCUGAAAUCCACUUAUAAUUCUCACUGAAUGUUAGCUUUCUAUUCACUGCUAUGGAGAAAGCUACAAGGUCAGGAAUCAACCUCGUCAGCUUUUUUUUCUUCAGGUUUUCAGAACAUACAGCCUUCUCUUUUCUGGAACAACUUGAAGUUCCUUCUUCUAAAGCAAAUUCUUUUCCUUUGAGGCAAAAAGUCUCCUUUCUUUGGUUCCUCUGAGCUAGGGAAUUUCUAAGCUUCUCUCUGGAGUCUGUCCAUCCCUUUGAGAUUUUCUACAUCUUUAUACCUUAGAGGCCUAAAAUGACAUCACUUUCUUCAGCUGAUCCCAACUGAGCUCUUCUGACAAGAAGUAUGAAGAUUAACAACAAAUUUAAUUUUAAAUGGCCACGCUCUUUGGAAAUAAUAAGGUAGACCACUAGGCACUAAUCAAGAGGAGCCGUCCACGAUGUAUUUGUUAAAAGGAAAAAGUAUAUUACAGAGUAAUAUGCCCUUUUGUGGAAAAACUAUAUUUGUAAUGAUCUGUAUAUACUCACAGAAUGAAAGGAUACAUUCCAAAUGUUGGAAUUAAGGGUGACACUUAAUUCACUUUCUAUACUUGGGCAAUGUUCGAAAUUUUAAUAAUAAGCACAUAUUUCUUCUGCAAUGAAAACAGGAAAGAAUGGUUAGGCUUUUUACAUGCAAUGCCACCUUUAUGCAAGCCCCUGCCCUAGAGACCAGAAAUAUGAGGAUAAACUAAACGGGGCCCCACCAUGGAACAGUUCAUGAUUGCGGGGAAAUGGACACAUGCAAUUAGUCGUACUAUCAACAUUUUGAUGUCAAACCAAAAGAGUUAAAUAAAUAUUAGCUAUUGAAUAUUUAGAGAGAACAUAAUUUAUUCGUUGGUGCCACUGAAUCCUUAAAGGAAUUUAGAGUGAAAAGAAAAAUGAGGGGCACCCGGGUGGCUCAGUUAGUUAAGCUCUGCCUUCCACUCCGGUCAUGAUCUCAGGGUCCUGGGAUUGAGCCCUGUGUCAGGCUCCCCACUCAGCAGAGCAUAUG